RNAcentral lists this ribosomal RNA (164 nucleotides) under uncultured bacterium. RNAcentral describes it as "partial 16S rRNA". It matches the Rfam family "Bacterial small subunit ribosomal RNA", at positions 355 to 511 of the family's 1533-position model. The record is from RNAcentral.
UAGGGAAUCUUCCACAAUGGACGCAAGUCUGAUGGAGCAACGCCGUGUGAGUGAAGAAGGUUUUCGGAUCGUAAAGCUCUGUUGUUGGUGAAGAAGGAUAGAGGCAGUAACUGGUCUUUAUUUGACGGUAAUCAAUCAGAAAGUCACGGCUAACUACGUGCCAG